GACGAACGCUGGCGGCGUGCUUAACACAUGCAAGUCGAGGGCACUAUUGGGGCAGCCUGGUAGUGACCGGCGAACGGGUGCGUAACACGUGAGCGACCUUGCCUCGUGGUGGGGGAUAGCCGGCCCAACGGCCGGGUAAUACCGCAUAUGGUAGUUUCUUCGCAUGGGGAGACUAGCAAAGCCUUGGAGCAAUCCAAUGGCGCCACAGGGGGGGCGGUC
RNAcentral lists this ribosomal RNA (219 nucleotides) under uncultured bacterium. RNAcentral's name for it is "partial 16S ribosomal RNA". It matches the Rfam family "Bacterial small subunit ribosomal RNA", at positions 28 to 234 of the family's 1533-position model. The record is from RNAcentral.